GCGGGGGUCGCCGAGCCAGGUCAAAGGCGCAGGCUUCAGGAGCCUGUCCCGUAGGGGUUCGUGGGUUCGAAUCCCACCCCCCGCACCA
RNAcentral lists this transfer RNA (88 nucleotides) under Candidatus Bathyarchaeota archaeon. RNAcentral describes it as "tRNA-Leu". It matches the Rfam family "tRNA". From Rfam's summary of the family: Transfer RNA (tRNA) molecules are approximately 80 nucleotides in length. Lineage: Archaea; Thermoproteati; Candidatus Bathyarchaeota. RNAcentral also lists the same sequence under 5 other names. The record is from RNAcentral.